UCACUUAUGGUUUACCAGUUAGAAACGCAUAUCACUUAUAUCAAAUGCAUAAGGGGAAAUAACUCUCAUAUGGAGUCUCCGGAUAGCUUCGGUCCAAAUGAAUAUCCUAAUCCUGAAGAUGUAACGAGAGCAAUUUGGUAAAAUAAAUUUGUCGUAAUCUUUUACGGUUGCGAAGGAGUAGUGGCCACAAGAAAAACAGUGUUUGGGGAGAUAACUCUUACAACGUAAAGUAUUUUGUUACGCAGUUGUAAAUUUUUAAAGCGUAUAAACUAUACGAUAUCAUAUUCCAAAUAUCUAAGCGACAUCUUUUGAAACAUCAAUACUACGCAAGAAAAAAUUUAGGCGGAAAAGAAAAAAAAAAUAAUAAUAAUUAAAAACCAAUUGUUCAAAGAACAAUUGAAGGUCUUUCCACAAGUAAAGAUCUAUUUUAUUAUCAAAAUAUUAAAAAUCAAUCUAAAAUGUCAGUUCCUAUGACUUUAUAAUGUAUAAAUAUGAAUUUAAAGCAAAGGUCAAAAUCUAGAACGUCCUAUUAACCUUUGACCUUGACCUCAAUUUCAAGGUCACCAACCAAGAACCUCAAAUAAAAAGACCCUAGGUCUGUAAUAUGUAUGGUUAAUGAGUUAUAUCACUUUAGGCAUGAUUUUAAAUAUAAGAUGGGCGAAAACUCUCAUUUAUUGUUUACGCACCCUUCCAACCAAAAUUUAUAAGUUACAACAUGUCGCAACUCACAAUUUAGUAAAAAUAAUUUGUCAAUAUCUU
RNAcentral lists this long non-coding RNA (759 nucleotides) under Mytilus galloprovincialis (Mediterranean mussel). Lineage: Eukaryota; Metazoa; Mollusca; Bivalvia; Mytilida; Mytilidae. The record is from RNAcentral.